RNAcentral lists this ribosomal RNA (555 nucleotides) under Rhizoclonium hieroglyphicum. RNAcentral describes it as "eukaryotic LSU rRNA". It matches the Rfam family "Eukaryotic large subunit ribosomal RNA", at positions 58 to 647 of the family's 3401-position model. The record is from RNAcentral. Lineage: Eukaryota; Viridiplantae; Chlorophyta; Ulvophyceae; Cladophorales; Cladophoraceae.
AAAGAAACCAACAGGGAUUCCCUUAGUAACGGCGAGCGAAAAGGGAAGAGCCCAGCUUGUAAAUCUCCGGUUUUCCGGCGAAUUGUAGUCUGGAGUAGCAUCUCUUAAAGCUGUGUCCGCCCAAGCAUCUUGGAAUAGAUCGCCUUAGAGGGUGAGAGCCCCGUAGGCUGGCAUUUGCUUUUUCACGGAGUGCUUACGCAGAGUCGGGUUGUUUGGGAAUGCAGCCCCAAUUGGGUGGUAAACCCCAUCUAAGGCUAAAUACCUGUGGGAGACCGAUAGCAAAAAAGUACCUCGAGGGAACGAUGAAAAGACCGCUGGCAAGCGAGUGAAAGAGUGCAUGAAAUUGUAUAGUGGGAAGGGAUGGCUUGGCGUGCUGCCUACGGGUAUACACUGCUCUUCGAGCUCUUGAAUACACCGUAGGCUGGCUGGUGCCGGCACUUAUGCUUGCAAAUUCCCAACCUAAGGUGUUUGGUUCUACAAGCGCAAGUGCUGAGGAUGAUCGAAGCUCUGUUUUAAACUGCUCCGACAUAGCACCAGCUGAAGCCUGUCCAUCUA